Molecule: long non-coding RNA, 473 nt
Filed under: Lathyrus oleraceus (garden pea)
Lineage: Eukaryota; Viridiplantae; Streptophyta; Magnoliopsida; Fabales; Fabaceae
Description: Pisum sativum (pea) long non-coding RNA (PSAT_LNC007059)
Source: RNAcentral
AUAUGAUGAAGAGGUACAUGUUGAUGGUAGUUGUGGUCCGAAAUAUGUUGAUGAUGAGGUUGAAGUUGAUAGUGUUAAUGUUAGUGAAGAUGAAGCACAAAAAGAAUGUGAGAAUGUUGAUGAAGGAGUACAACAAGAAUGUGGGAAUGUUUAUGAAGGAAUACAAAAUAAAAAAGAUGGUGUUGACGUUGACAUAGAUAGUUUUAACGAUGAAUAAUAUGAAUGUAGUGAGGAUUAAAUUAAGUUGGAUUGAGCCACAGUCCUACCAAGUAAUGAAAAGGUGAGUCAUUCUGAUAAAAAUGAAUGUGGUGAAAAUGAAUAUGGUGACGAUGUCUAUGAUUCUGAUCAACUACAUACUCCUCACAAAAGUGGCAAUGGUGAAGAGCAUGAAAAGUUUUCAACUUAUAGAAUUGAUGAAGGCUUCAAAUUUCAAUUAGGUAUGGUAUUUAACAACAAAGAGAUAAUGAGGGAUA